UACGAUCUGGCACAAAGCCAAAAAGUGAAUCAGGAUUUGCGAAGGAACGAGCGUCCGAAAGAGCAUCCGAAACUCCGCGAAGAGGAGAUGGAGCAGGGCUCAGUGAGAUGGGUUUCGUGAUUGCAAACUCCAACGCUCAUUGGUGCGUUGUACGAGCCAGUUCGUCGGCUUUGUGUUUAUUGGAGGAGACAUCAUCAGCACAAUGCACGAAAUGGGGAACUAAGCUUUAGGACCGUCAGCCAUUGAUGCUUCUCCUGUUCGCUGGCUUUGAUUGUACCGAUACUCAAGAUAUGAAAAAAAGGAGCGAAUAUCAAUUUCUGCACUCAUAAAUAUUCACUAACCGCUGCAAGUGAUGUUCCCGUGAAGAUUCGGAGCUUGGACGAACAAACGGGCGGCUAGGCUAUGCUUGGUUACAUAUGAUGCAGAGUCACCGAGCGAGACAACAAAAAAAUGCCUUUGAGUUUUUGCGC
This 470-nucleotide small RNA is filed under the name Histoplasma ohiense. Its description in RNAcentral is "hypothetical lncRNA". The record is from RNAcentral. Lineage: Eukaryota; Fungi; Ascomycota; Eurotiomycetes; Onygenales; Ajellomycetaceae.